Molecule: long non-coding RNA, 814 nt
Organism: Lolium perenne
Lineage: Eukaryota; Viridiplantae; Streptophyta; Magnoliopsida; Poales; Poaceae
Source: RefSeq, a predicted model, not a curated record
GUACCAUUUUAAGCCCGAAUUUGGCCCGGCCCGGCCCGACCAUCUACUCCACCAUCCGUCCAUCUGCCUAAACAGGCCAAACAGGCCCAGCCUGCCGGUGCCCUAACCGCAUAUGAACCGCACGUCCGCACCCCACUCCUCCAUCCGCCGACCGCCGCACACAACGCACUCGUCCCGUGCGAAGAUAGAGCGACCAGGGGUAACGGCGAUGGCGGCGCCCCUGAUCUGCUCGCCGUAGCCCCUUCCUCGACGACGGCCACCGCAGCUCCUUCCUCGCCAUCGACCGUCGCAGCUCCUUCCUCGCCGUCCCCCGCAGCAGCUCCUCCCUCGACGGUAACUGCAGCAGCUCCUCCCUCGCCGCCCCCCGCAGCAGCUCCUCCCUCGCCGGCCCCCGCAGCAGCUCCUCCCUCGCCGGCCCCCGCAGCAGCUCCUCCCUCGCCGGCCCCCGCAGGCCGCAAUGACAUCAAUUGUCGCACAUCCUUCCUCGCCUACUGCCGCACCUCAUUCCUCACUGAUUGAAAGUCAGAUCUGAAAUUUCCUACGGAGUAAUUUCUUUGGCAGAUGGAGAACGGGAACGAAAAUCGGGUGUCCCAGUUUGGGAGCACUGUACCAGAGUGGAGAUCUGGAGGCUAUUUUGAAGAUCUGGAGGCUGUUUUCACGCUGUUUGAUGUGAAAACAGUUUGCUGUCAAACAUGUUGUAAACCGUACUAUUAUGUCAUAAACGUUGCUAUUUUGUUGUAUUUCUAUCGAGUGCUAUGUUAAACAAUACCAACAGCGACAACUACGGCCAGAAUAGCCAUAUUUUUUCUGCUCA